RNAcentral lists this ribosomal RNA (460 nucleotides) under uncultured bacterium. Its description in RNAcentral is "partial 16S ribosomal RNA". It matches the Rfam family "Bacterial small subunit ribosomal RNA", at positions 338 to 795 of the family's 1533-position model. The record is from RNAcentral.
CCUACGGGUGGCAGCAGUGAGGAAUAUUGGUCAAUGGACGGGAGUCUGAACCAGCCAAGUAGCGUGAAGGAGGACUGUCCAGUGGAUUGUAAACUUCUUUUAUAUGGGAAUAAAAUGUUGCACGCGUGCGAGUAUGUAUGUACCAUAUGAAUAAGCAUCGGCUAACUCCGUGCCAGCAGCCGCGGUAAUACGGAGGAUGCGAGCGUUAUCCGGAUUUAUUGGGUUUAAAGGGAGCGUAGGUGGAUUGUUAAGUCAGUUGUGAAAGUUUGCGGCUCAACCGUAAAAUUGCAGUUGAAACUGGCAGUCUUGAGUACAGUAGAGGUAGGCGGAAUUCGUGGUGUAGCGGUGAAAUGCUUAGAUAUCACGAAGAACUCCGAUUGCGAAGGCAGCUCACUGGACUGUAACUGACACUGAUGCUCGAAAGUGUGGGUAUCAAACAGGAUUAGAUACCCGUGUAGUC